Molecule: ribosomal RNA, 122 nt
Filed under: Tilachlidium brachiatum
Lineage: Eukaryota; Fungi; Ascomycota; Sordariomycetes; Hypocreales; Tilachlidiaceae
Description: partial 28S ribosomal RNA
Rfam family: Eukaryotic large subunit ribosomal RNA
Source: RNAcentral
UUGACCUCAGAUCAUGUAGGAAUACCCGCUGAACUUAAGCAUAUCAAUAAGCGGAGGAAAACACACCAACAGGGAUUGUCCUAGUAACGGCGAGUGAAGCGACAACAGCUCAAAUUUGAAAU